This 460-nucleotide ribosomal RNA is filed under the name uncultured bacterium. RNAcentral describes it as "partial 16S ribosomal RNA". It matches the Rfam family "Bacterial small subunit ribosomal RNA", at positions 338 to 795 of the family's 1533-position model. The record is from RNAcentral.
CCUACGGGAGGCAGCAGUGAGGAAUAUUGGUCAAUGGGCGGGAGCCUGAACCAGCCAAGUCGCGUGAGGGAAGAAGGUACUGAGUAUUGUAAACCUCUUUUGCCAGGGGACAAAGGCGGCCACGGGUGGCCGUAAGAGGGUACCUGGAGAAAAAGCAUCGGCCAACUCCGUGCCAGCAGCCGCGGUAAUACGGAGGAUGGGAGCGUUAACCGGAUUUAUUGGGUUGAAAGGGUGCGCAGGCGGGGUGUCAAGUCAGAGGUAAAAUGCCGUGGCUCAACCCCGGCCGGCCUGUGAAACUGGGGUGGUCGAGUUGGAGAAGAGUAUGCGGAAUUCGUGGUGGAGCGGUGGAAUGCAGAGAUAUCACGAAGAACCACGAUUGCGAAGGCAGCAUACCGGCUCCACACUGACGCUGAGGCACGAAAGCGUGGGUAUCGAACAGGAUUAGAUACCCCGAGUAGUC